AAUCCAAUCUUCCCUGCAGCCCAUACCUCGUUCAAUUUUCAGCCCAUAGAAACCCAGAUCCAACAAUUCAUCUAACAAAUUAAUACCCUUACCCGACCCACUUCCUUUUCCCAACGUUAACAGGAAAGCGGUCAAAGCAAACAGGUUCACGCCAAGCACGAUCAUCAUCUCGUACGAGUACGCACAACCCUUUCCACGUUUCCAGUUGCUGCCUCUUUUGCAGGUCACAGGUUUUGUCCUUGCGAUGGCGAGAUCAAGAACUGCCAAGGACAUAGAGGUUGAUCCCGAUCGUCCAUCCUUUUCCCUUUUCCAGUUCAGAGUUAAAAUUCAAAGGAAAAAGAAGAAGUUGGUCAAUCCAAAAAGGGAGAAGUGUUUGGAUUGUACUUUCAUAUAAAUCGGAGGCAACCUAUGAGAAAAAUUAUUCAUCAACCAACAGACACACAGAGUAGUGUAUGAGAGGAUUGAAUUCACAUUUAAAUUGAAGAAGUGUGUCGAGGGAUAUACUUGUGUAUAAAAAAAGAUGUUAUGGGAGAAGUUUAAAUAUUUUCUAGUUUUAGGUUUUGUUCUCCGCAUAGAAGUGUUUUUUUAUUGAAAUAUCAAAAUUACCCCUAACAACAGUAA
Molecule: long non-coding RNA, 621 nt
Organism: Solanum pennellii
Lineage: Eukaryota; Viridiplantae; Streptophyta; Magnoliopsida; Solanales; Solanaceae
Exons: 2
Source: RefSeq, a predicted model, not a curated record